RNAcentral lists this small RNA (250 nucleotides) under Arabidopsis thaliana (thale cress). RNAcentral describes it as "ATSL032480". The record is from RNAcentral. Lineage: Eukaryota; Viridiplantae; Streptophyta; Magnoliopsida; Brassicales; Brassicaceae.
CAUUUCAUCGAACACCAUUUGGGCGCGGAAAUGUCUGGGUUCAAAUUCCAGUUGAUCAGAAAGCAAUAGGCAUUAAGAACAACUAAUCCAGAAGGGAUCUAUAAAUCAAACUCAACCACCUAGCAUACUGAGAAUUCUAAACUACUAUAACCCAUCCUCAUAAACCUAUUCACUACUCAGACAUCAUAGGAGAAAACAUAAACGUUGAAUAGAAUGAAAACAUGAUAACAACAGAGUAAUAGCACAAGAU